Molecule: long non-coding RNA, 470 nt
Organism: Mobula hypostoma (lesser devil ray)
Lineage: Eukaryota; Metazoa; Chordata; Chondrichthyes; Myliobatiformes; Myliobatidae
Exons: 3
Source: RefSeq, a predicted model, not a curated record
AGGCAGCUGUUCAAGCAUCAGCUCACAUUACCACUGCAAGGACAUCUGACUGAUGUACUGCGCAUUGCAAGAAAAUGAGAGUUUAGAAGAAUGGAGAAUUAGAACUUGGCUGGAACAAUGAAACCAGGAUUCUACUAUUAAGCUGUGUGUGAUUGGACCCUGAGAUUACAUUUCGAAUAUGUGUUUUCGGGCCGAUUGAGCGAUCUGGUGCUUUGCUGACUCUGAGGGAGAUAGGUGAGAUUUGGAAUGAGCGUUCUGGAGGCCAAAAAGCUGGGACAUGAACGACUCUACUUAUCGCCGAUUAAUUUAUUGAGCAAAAUUGAAAUCAACUAGAGCGAGAAUGGAAGCUGACUGUGAUCAUUUAAAGCUGAUUCCCAAGAGGAGCAGAUCACAGGAUCGUUGUGGGUUUCGAGAAUGAAUUGGCUCACGGUGUCGCUCAGUCAAGCGACUGAUGUUCAGUUGGAAUUCCU